Quercus robur (English oak) is the source of this 1418-nucleotide long non-coding RNA. RefSeq lists it as uncharacterized. The transcript is spliced from 3 exons. The record is from RefSeq and is a predicted model, not a curated record. NCBI's taxonomy places the organism in Eukaryota, Viridiplantae, Streptophyta, Magnoliopsida, Fagales, Fagaceae.
AAUUUCUAGAGAGAAAUUAUGACUCCCUUGAAUGUUUAUUUUUACAUUUUAGAUCUAUAAAUCAGUGAUCCAAAAAAUGUAAAAAACACGCAUACACUUGGGCAUUAUGCUUUUAUAAUUUCUUGGACCACCAUUGUUUGGUAAGUGGUCUCAGUCACUCUAAGCUACCGUUAGAAAAUACUUUUCCUAUUCCAAAACUUCACCAAUCCUGCUCAUCCAAAAUGUGGGUGUCUCUGUCUUGUUUUUCAUUCUUUUUGCACGAAGCUCUUUUGUUUUGUUUUGUUUUGUUAUUUUCUCAUGGCCCGCUGCUAAAACAAUAAAAAGCCUAAAAUACUCCCUCAGUCGUACUCAAAAGACACAGACUAACCAUAAAAAAAAAAACAAAAAACUCACUGUUUAAGCGCACAUGGCCAUGGGUCCAUACCACACAGACCUUUCUAUUUUUUAUUAUAUUUUUAUAAAGCAUCUUUGACCUUUUGUGGAAAAUAAAAGACUGAUGACCAUAGUUAUUUUAUCCUAGCUAGCUCAUUAAGUGCAUGCAAAAGUCCUUUAAAAUAUUUUUCACCAAAAUACACCAUUCACCAAAAUACACAAAAAUCUCUCCAUCUGGUGAAUCAUUUUUCAAAAUAUUUUACAUCUAAAUAUAGAUGUUACUGUAGCAACAUCUAUAUCAUUUUUUAUUAGAAUACCUUCCGUCCGGAGCUGGCAUAAACCAACUCUUUUACACCACCAAUAAUAUAGUGCCACAUCAGCUUUUUAAUGAAAAGGCAAUACAUUCUAAUACACUCAAUCACAGCUCACAUAAACCUUCAAUCCUCAAUCAAACUACACGAUAGUCUCAAAUAAACCCCAAAUCAGAUUCCUCCUCUCCUCUUAGCAUCGGAGUUCCACCUCGCCGCUGCACACGUCGUCUCUGGAGCUGGCGCCGCCGCACCGAACUCAAGGAAGUGUUCAAGACUCAAGAGAGCCAUUCUACAGCCUGGACCACCUCAAAGUUUUGCACUACAUAAUGUUCAGGAAGUUAUAAAACCUCAAGUCUCAACCCAAACAAGUGUUGUUGGAAGUAGUGGAGUUGGUAGAUAUGGAAAAGGAAUUGGAACUAGUGCUGGAAAAGGAAGAGCUGGAAAUUGAGCUAGAAAAGAUUGAAGGGUAGUAGCAGUGUUAGUUUUGUAGGACCUUUUAUAUAUUAGGACCUUUGAUUGUUUGAACCUUUUAUGGUUACUAUUUUGUACAACUGUUCAUAAGCUUAUUUGAUGGUGUUAAUGGACAAAAGUAACCUAUUUUAUGUUGAUCUUAGGUAGGACCUUUGGUUAAGCUUAUAUGAUGGUGAUACUGGACAUAAGUAUCCUAUUUUUUGUUGGAUAAUAGUUUACAAAACCUUUAUGUUAACAACUAAGUAUUAAAGCAACUCGACUAAA